Non-coding RNA from Pangasianodon gigas (Mekong giant catfish), 81 nucleotides. NCBI's taxonomy places the organism in Eukaryota, Metazoa, Chordata, Actinopteri, Siluriformes, Pangasiidae. The record is from the annotation of a GenBank genome assembly.
GGCAGUCGUGGCCUAAUGGUUAGAGGCUCGGACUCGUAACCCGGAACCUGAAGGUCGUGGGUUCGAGUCUCAGGUCUGGCA